GACGUAGGGGGCCAGCGUUGCUCGGAAUUACUGGGCGUAAAGGGUUCGUAGGCGGUGCGGCAAGUCGGAAGUGAAAUCUCUGGGCUUAACUCAGAGGCUGCUCCCGAAACUGCUGUGCUAGAGUGUGAGAGAGGCGAGUGGAAUUACGGGUGUAGCGGUGAAAUGCGUAGAUAUCCGUAGGAACAUCCGAGGCGAAGGCGGCUCGCUGGAUCACAACUGACGCUGAGGGACGAAAGCUAGGGGAGCAAACAGG
This 253-nucleotide ribosomal RNA is filed under the name uncultured bacterium. RNAcentral's name for it is "partial 16S ribosomal RNA". It matches the Rfam family "Bacterial small subunit ribosomal RNA", at positions 524 to 776 of the family's 1533-position model. The record is from RNAcentral.